UAACACAUGCAAGUCGAACGAAAAUACCAAGCUUGCUUGGUUGAUUAGUGGCGAACGGGUGAGUAACACGUGAGUAACCUGCCCCUUACUUUCCUGGAUAACUGCUCGAAAGGGUAGCUAAUACGGGAUAUUCUGACCAUCCUGCAUGGGUUGGUUUGGAAAGGUUGUUUUUCUGGUAAGGGAUGGGCUCGCGGCCUAUCAGCUUGUUGGUGGGGUGAUGGCCUACCAAGGCUUUGACGGGUAGCCGGCCUGAGAGGGUGGACGGUCACACUGGGACUGAGAUACGGCCCAGACUCCUACGGGAGGCAGCAGUGGGGAAUAUUGCACAAUGGGCGCAAGCCUGAUGCAGCGACGCCGCGUGAGGGAUGAAGGCCUUCGGGUUGUAAACCUCUUUCGUCAGGGAACAAGGCACUGUCUUUUUGGUGGUGUUGAGGGUACCUGGAUAAGAAGCGCCGGCUAACUACGUGCCAGCAGCCGCGGUA
This 482-nucleotide ribosomal RNA is filed under the name Actinomyces graevenitzii. RNAcentral describes it as "bacterial SSU rRNA". It matches the Rfam family "Bacterial small subunit ribosomal RNA", at positions 49 to 522 of the family's 1533-position model. Lineage: Bacteria; Bacillati; Actinomycetota; Actinomycetes; Actinomycetales; Actinomycetaceae. The record is from RNAcentral.